GCCUUGGUAGCUCAAUUGGCUAGAGCGUGGGACUUUUACUCCGAUCUGAUUGCGGAAUCCCAAGGUUGCGGGUUCGACCCCCGCCUGAGGCG
Rostrohypoxylon terebratum is the source of this 92-nucleotide non-coding RNA. The record is from the annotation of a GenBank genome assembly. Lineage: Eukaryota; Fungi; Ascomycota; Sordariomycetes; Xylariales; Hypoxylaceae.